AAGUCGUUCCUCUCAGACAUAACGCCGAAUCCAUUUUUCCAUCUCUCCUCCUUCUCAGCCACUGAUUUACAUCACCACCAUCAAUCUAUACAAUCGGUAGAUCUGAAGUGUUUCGAGUUCAUGUGCGAGAGCUCUUAUGAGUUCAAAGGCUUCAAACAUGUUCGAUUUAUUUGUUUUCGGGUUUGUUAACCAAUUAUCUAAUGUUUGCGAUUUUACUUGGUUUGAUUUAUGAGUAUUUUUCAUUAAAAAUCUUUAUAACAUGUAUGAUUUACUAACAUGUGCGAAAAUCUACAGCAAAUCAUUCCAAGAAUAUUGAACGAACCACCAUGGGUAUUGGUUCUUGGUGCUGUAAACUCUUAACAGAUCUGGAAGGGAAAAUAUCAUGUUUGAAAAGAACCAAGGUUGUUGUUAUUUAGUUAUAAGUAUUAGAGUUUAUUUAACCUAUAUAUUGUAAGUUUCUUAGCUUUCUAUAUGUUAUAAAUCUCCUUGUAAAGCAUAGAUAUGUGGAGAUUUGUGAAGGAAAGAAAGAAAACCAUGUGUAUGAAGAGUUUGUAAUCAUUUUUUCCUCUUAAUAUUUGAAAUAAACUGAAGGAAUGUGAGAAAACCAUGUAUUAUGUAUAUGAAGAGUUUGUCCUUGAAAUCGAAGUUAUGUUUUUGGAAAAUGAUUUUUGCGACAAAACUGCAAAUUUA
Non-coding RNA from Lactuca sativa (garden lettuce), 690 nucleotides. NCBI's taxonomy places the organism in Eukaryota, Viridiplantae, Streptophyta, Magnoliopsida, Asterales, Asteraceae. The record is from RefSeq and is a predicted model, not a curated record.